GACGAACGCUGGCGGCGUGCUUAACACAUGCAAGUCGAACGGAAAGGCCCUGCUUUUGUGGGGUGCUCGAGUGGCGAACGGGUGAGUAACACGUGAGUAACCUGCCCUUGACUUUGGGAUAACUUCAGGAAACUGGGGCUAAUACCGGAUAGGAGCUCCUGCUGCAUGGUGGGGGUUGGAAAGUUUCGGCGGUUGGGGAUGGACUCGCGGCUUAUCAGCUUGUUGGUGGGGUAGUGGCUUACCAAGGCUUUGACGGGUAGCCGGCCUGAGAGGGUGACCGGCGACAUUGGGACUGAGAGACGGACCAGACGCCUACGGGAGGCAGUAGUGGGGAAUAUUGCACAAUGGGCGGAAGCCUGAUGCAGCAACGCCGCGUGCGGGAUGACGGCCUUCGGGUUGUAAACCGCUUUCGCCUGUGACGAAGCGGGAGUGACGGUAAUGGGUAAAGAAGCACCGGCUAACUACGUG
Molecule: ribosomal RNA, 468 nt
Filed under: uncultured bacterium
Lineage: Bacteria
Description: partial 16S ribosomal RNA
Rfam family: Bacterial small subunit ribosomal RNA
Source: RNAcentral